RNAcentral lists this ribosomal RNA (484 nucleotides) under uncultured bacterium. Its description in RNAcentral is "bacterial SSU rRNA". It matches the Rfam family "Bacterial small subunit ribosomal RNA", at positions 8 to 518 of the family's 1533-position model. The record is from RNAcentral.
AGGGUUCGAUUCUGGCUCAGGAUUAACGCUGGCGGCGUGCCUAAUACAUGCAAGUCGAAUGGUAGCAAUACCAUGGCGAACGGGUGAGUAACACGUAGGUAACCUGUCUUUAAGCCGAGGAUAACCAUUGGAAACGAUGGAUAAUACUGGAUAGGACAUUUGAAGGCAUCUUUUAAUGUUUUAAAGAUUUAUCACUUAGAGAGGGGCCUGCGGCGCAUUAGCUAGUUGGUGAGGUGAAGGCUUACCAAGGCGAUGAUGCGUAGCCGGACUGAGAGGUUGAACGGCCACAAUGGAACUGAGAACGGUCCAUACUCCUACGGGAGGCAGCAGUAGGGAAUUUUCGGCAAUGGGCGGAAGCCCUGACCGAGCAACGCCGCGUGAACGAAGAAGUAUUUCGGUAUGUAAAGUUCUUUUAUUAGGGACGAAAAGACAGAUUGACGGUACCUAAUGAAUAAGCUCCGGCUAACUACGUGCCAGCCGCCGC